AGUCGAGCGGAUUGAUGGGAGCUUGCUCCCUGAAGUCAGCGGCGGACCGGUGAGUAACACGUGGGUAACCUGCCUGUAAGACUGGGAUAACUCCGGGAAACCGGGGCUAAUACCGGAUAGUUCUUUUCCUCGCAUGAGGAAAAGUGGAAAGGCGGCUUCGGCUGCCACUUACAGAUGGACCCGCGGCGCAUUAGCUAGUUGGUGAGGUAACGGCUCACCAAGGCAACGAUGCGUAGCCGACCUGAGAGGGUGAUCGGCCACACUGGGACUGAGACACGGCCCAGACUCCUACGGGAGGCAGCAGUAGGGAAUCUUCCGCAAUGGACGAAAGUCUGACGGAGCAACGCCGCGUGAGUGAUGAAGGUUUUCGGAUCGUAAAGCUCUGUUGUUAGGGAAGAACAAGUGCCGUUCGAAUAGGGCGGCACCUUGACGGUACCUAACCAGAAAGCCACGGCUAACUACGUGCCAGCAGCCGCGGUAAUACGUAGGUGGCAAGCGUUGUCCGGAAUUAUUGGGCGUAAAGCGCGCGCAGGCGGUCUCUUAAGUCUGAUGUGAAAGCCCACGGCUCAACCGUGGAGGGUCAUUGGAAA
Molecule: ribosomal RNA, 590 nt
Filed under: Bacillus sp. CH34_1T
Lineage: Bacteria; Bacillati; Bacillota; Bacilli; Caryophanales; Bacillaceae
Description: bacterial SSU rRNA
Rfam family: Bacterial small subunit ribosomal RNA
Source: RNAcentral